Molecule: ribosomal RNA, 881 nt
Filed under: uncultured bacterium
Lineage: Bacteria
Description: bacterial SSU rRNA
Rfam family: Bacterial small subunit ribosomal RNA
Source: RNAcentral
AGUCGAACGAUUAAAGCUCUCUUCGAAGAGUGCAUAGAGUGGCGCACGGGUGAGUAACACGUAAGUAAUCUACCUUUGAGUGGGGAAUAACAGUCGGAAACGACUGCUAACACCGCAUAAUGCAGCGGCAUCGCAAGAUGACAGUUGUUAAAGGAGCAAUCCGCUUAAAGAGGAGCUUGCGGCAGAUUAGCUUGUUGGUAAGGUAACGGCUUACCAAGGCUACGAUCUGUAUCCGGUCUUAGAGGACGGUCGGACACACUGACACUGAACAACGGGUCAGACUCCUACGGGAGGCAGCAGUCGGGAAUUUUGGGCAAUGGGCGAAAGCCUGACCCAGCAACGCCGCGUGAAGGAUGAAGUAUUUCGGUAUGUAAACUUCGAAAGAAUAGGAAGAAUAAAUGACGGUACUAUUUAUAAGCUCCGGCUAACUACGUGCCAGCAGCCGCGGUAAUACGUAGGGAGCAAGCGUUGUUCGGAUUUACUGGGCGUAAAGGGCGCGUAGGCGGCGCGGUAAGUCACUUGUGAAAUCUCUGAGCUUAACUCAGAACGGCCAAGUGAUACUGCAGUGCUAGAGUGCAGAAGGGGCAAUCGGAAUUCUUGGUGUAGCGGUGAAAUGCGUAGAUAUCAAGAGGAACACCUGAGGUGAAGACGGGUUGCUGGGCUGACACUGACGCUGAGGCGCGAAAGCCAGGGGAGCAAACGGGAUUAGAUACCCCGGUAGUCCUGGCCCUAAACGAUGAAUACUUGGUGUCUGGAGAUUUAAUGYUCCGGGUGCCGUCGCUAACGUUUUAAGUAUUYCGSCYKGGGGAGUACGCUCGCAGAAGUGAAACUCAAAGGGAAUUGACGGGGACCCGCACAAGCGGUGGAGCAUGUGGUUUAAU